AAACCAAAUGAUGAAUAUGGGUUUACAUUUUCUCACGACGGUCGUCUGAGUUCACUAUGAUGUAUUAAUCCGAUUUUUCUGAUGGUU
This is a non-coding RNA of Cicer arietinum (chickpea), 87 nucleotides long. The record is from Rfam. NCBI's taxonomy places the organism in Eukaryota, Viridiplantae, Streptophyta, Magnoliopsida, Fabales, Fabaceae.